RNAcentral lists this long non-coding RNA (317 nucleotides) under Brassica napus (rape). Its description in RNAcentral is "long non-coding RNA (BNAP_LNC014208)". Lineage: Eukaryota; Viridiplantae; Streptophyta; Magnoliopsida; Brassicales; Brassicaceae. The record is from RNAcentral.
AGGGGGUUCGUAGUUGACUAUAUUUGCAGUUAUGAGCUCGAUGAUUAUAAGUCAAUUCUCAUUUGAAUUUGUUCACAUUAUAUAUGUAGUUACGUAGUUAUUGAUUUUCAAGUUCCCGGAAAAGAGAGUUCAUACGUACAUACUAUAUUGCGUUGUGUAAAAUACUCGUAGGGGUUUACUUUAAAAUAAGUUGACGUACAUAGAGUAGUAACCUAUGGUUUUAUAGCGAAUAUGUUUCGAUGGUAGAAUUGGUUAUAAACCCUUUUCAUAUUGGUUUUAACAAUUGGUUUAAUUUGCGUCCAACCUUUUUUGGUUGA